CAGAAGGAUUCAUGCUAUGUGAAGACCUUUUCUCGCCCACCGAAGGCACCGCCACGGCAUCCUCGAGCUCGGUCGGUGCAAUUCCCCAACCCAACACCACUAUGGACAUCCCGGAUAGUAAGUAUCACUUUGAUUUCCUCUCGCCACGUAUCGACG
This 156-nucleotide non-coding RNA is filed under the name Amorphochlora amoebiformis. Lineage: Eukaryota; Cercozoa; Chlorarachniophyceae. The record is from RNAcentral.